RNAcentral lists this ribosomal RNA (1506 nucleotides) under uncultured delta proteobacterium. RNAcentral's name for it is "bacterial SSU rRNA". It matches the Rfam family "Bacterial small subunit ribosomal RNA". Lineage: Bacteria; Deltaproteobacteria. The record is from RNAcentral.
AGAGUUUGAUCCUGGCUCAGAACGAACGCUGGUGGCGGGCCUAAUACAUGCAAGUCGAACGAGAAAGCCCUUCGGGGUGAGUAGAGUGGCGCACGGGUGAGUAACACGUAAAUGACCUACCCUUGAGUUGGGGACAACCAGAGGAAACUCUGGCUAAUACCGAAUACGGUGAACAACUUUGAAAGGAGUUCACUAAAGAGGGCUUCGGCUCUCGCUUGAGGAAGGGUUUGCGUAUCAUUAGCUUGAUGGUGGGGUAAUGGCCUACCAUGGCAACGAUGAUUAACUGGUCUGAGAGGAUGAUCAGUCACACUGGAACUGAGACACGGUCCAGACUCCUACGGGAGGCAGCAGUAGGGAAUAUUGCGCAAUGGGGGAAACCCUGACGCAGCCACGCCACGUGAGUGAGGAAGGUCUUCGGAUUGUAAAGCUCUGUCAGAAGGGAAGAACGGUUUGAUGGUUAAUACCCAUCAGAUUUGACGGUACCUUCAGAGGAAGCACCGGCUAACUUCGUGCCAGCAGCCGCGGUAAUACGAAGGGUGCAAGCGUUGUUCGGAUUUAUUGGGCGUAAAGCGCGCGCAGGCGGAUAUGUAAGUCAGAUGUGAAAUCUCGGGGCUCAACCCCGAAACUGCGUCUGAAACUACUUAUCUAGAGUACUGGAGAAGAAGGCGGAAUUUCGCAUGUAGGGGGUAAAAUCCGUAGAGAUGCGAAGGAACCACCAGAGGCGAAGGCGGCCUUCUGGACAGUCACUGACGCUGAGGCGCGAAAGCGUGGGGAGCAAACAGGAUUAGAUACCCUGGUAGUCCACGCCGUAAACGAUGACAACUAGUUAUGGGAGGUAUUGAUCCCUUCCGUGACGUAGCUAACGCAUUAAGUUGUCCGCCUGGGGAGUACGGUCGCAAGACUAAAACUCAAAGGAAUUGACGGGGGCCCGCACAAGCGGUGGAUUAUGUGGUUUAAUUCGAAGCAACGCGCAAAACCUUACCUGGGCUUGAACUCCCACGAACCUUCCCGAGAAGGAAGGGUGCCCCUUGGGGAAUGUGGUGAGAGGCGCUGCAUGGCUGUCGUCAGCUCGUGUUGUGAAAUGUUGGGUUAAGUCUCGCAACGAGCGCCACCCCUAUCUUCUGUUGCCAGCAUUAAGUUGGGCACUCUGGAGAGACUGCCUGGGUUAACCAGGAGGAAGGUGGGGAUGACGUCAAGUCCUCAUGGCCCUUAUGUCCAGGGCUACACACGUAAUACAAUGGUACAUACAGAGGGAUGCAAACUCGCGAGGGGGAGCAAAUCUCAAAAAGUGUAUCUCAGUCCGGAUUGGAGUCUGCAACUCGACUCCAUGAAGCUGGAAUCGCUAGUAAUCGCGGAUCAGCAUGCCGCGGUGAAUACGUUCCCGGGCCUUGUACACACCGCCCGUCACACCAUGGGAGUUGGCUCAACCUGAAGCCGUGGCCCUAACCUUUUGGAGGGGAGCGUCUACGGUGGGGCUGAUGACUGGGGUGAAGUCGUAACAAGGUA